Molecule: long non-coding RNA, 329 nt
Organism: Zophobas morio
Lineage: Eukaryota; Metazoa; Arthropoda; Insecta; Coleoptera; Tenebrionidae
Exons: 3
Source: RefSeq, a predicted model, not a curated record
UCACCGCUUAUAUAAAUUUAGAAAUUACUUUAUUAAAAAAUUCUUCAGAAAUUGAUAAUGAAAAGGCGAUUCUGCAAAGAGUAACUCGCUUUGCGCAACAUUUUAAAAAGUCCAAUGACCACGAGGCCAAACGUUUAUCCCUUUUAGGGGUCUAUCUGUAUGUUUUGCAUCUGAAAAAGUGGCCCUCCUUGAUGCCUUCUGCAAUUAGCAGUUUUGAAGAUUUAUUUUUCUCUUCAGAAGUGUCCUGGGAAGAACUUGAAAGUAAUGAUGUAAUCAUGCUAAAGUACGAACAAUUAAAAAGUAAAGCAGUGGAAUACUCGCCUUUUUAA